AACGAACGCUGGCGGCAUGCCUAACACAUGCAAGUCGAACGAGACCUUCGGGUCUAGUGGCGCACGGGUGCGUAACGCGUGGGAACCUGCCCUUAGGUUCGGAAUAACUCCCCGAAAGGGGUGCUAAUACCGGAUAAUGUCUUCGGCCCAAAGAUUUAUAGCCUUUGGAUGGGCCCGCAUUGGAUUAGCUAGUUGGUAGGGUAAAAGCCUACCAAGGCGACGAUCCAUAGCUGGUCUGAGAGGAUGAUCAGCCACACUGGGACUGAGACACGGCCCAGACUCCUACGGGAGGCAGGAGUGGGGAAUAUUGGACAAUGGGCGAAAGCCUGAUCCAGCAAUGCCGCGUGAGUGAUGAAGGCCUUAGGGUUGUAAAGCUCUUUUACCCGGGAUGAUAAUGACAGUACCGGGAGAAUAAGCUCCGGCUAACUCCGUG
This 433-nucleotide ribosomal RNA is filed under the name uncultured bacterium. Its description in RNAcentral is "partial 16S ribosomal RNA". It matches the Rfam family "Bacterial small subunit ribosomal RNA", at positions 29 to 507 of the family's 1533-position model. The record is from RNAcentral.